GUAGGUGGCAAGCGUUGUCCGGAAUUAUUGGGCGUAAAGCGCGCGCAGGCGGUUCUUUAAGUCUGAUGUGAAAGCCCGCGGCUCAACCGUGGAGGGUCAUUGGAAACUGGAGAACUUGAGUACAGAAGAGGAAAGCGGAAUUCCACGUGUAGCGGUGAAAUGCGUAGAGAUGUGGAGGAACACCAGUGGCGAAGGCGGCUUUCUGGUCUGUAACUGACGCUGAGGCGCGAAAGCGUGGGGAGCAAACAGGGAUUAGAUACCCUGGUAGUCCACGCCGUAAACGAUGAGUGCUAAGUGUUAGGGGGUUUCCGCCCCCUUAGUGCUGCAGCUAACGCAUUAAGCACUCCGCCUGGGGAUACGGCCGCAAGGCUG
Molecule: ribosomal RNA, 372 nt
Filed under: uncultured organism
Description: partial 16S ribosomal RNA
Rfam family: Bacterial small subunit ribosomal RNA
Source: RNAcentral